RNAcentral lists this ribosomal RNA (465 nucleotides) under Vreelandella stevensii. RNAcentral's name for it is "partial 16S ribosomal RNA". It matches the Rfam family "Bacterial small subunit ribosomal RNA", at positions 338 to 795 of the family's 1533-position model. Lineage: Bacteria; Pseudomonadati; Pseudomonadota; Gammaproteobacteria; Oceanospirillales; Halomonadaceae. The record is from RNAcentral.
CCUACGGUGUGCUGCAGUGGGGAAUAUUGGACAAUGGGGGCAACCCUGAUCCAGCCAUGCCGCGUGUGUGAAGAAGGCCCUCGGGUUGUAAAGCACUUUCAGUGAGGAAGAACGCCUGGUGGUUAAUACCCAUCAGGAAAGACAUCACUCACAGAAGAAGCACCGGCUAACUCCGUGCCAGCAGCCGCGGUAAUACGGAGGGUGCGAGCGUUAAUCGGAAUUACUGGGCGUAAAGCGCGCGUAGGUGGCUUGAUAAGCCGGUUGUGAAAGCCCCGGGCUCAACCUGGGAACGGCAUCCGGAACUGUCAAGCUAGAGUGCAGGAGAGGAAGGUAGAAUUCCCGGUGUAGCGGUGAAAUGCGUAGAGAUCGGGAGGAAUACCAGUGGCGAAGGCGGCCUUCUGGACUGACACUGACACUGAGGUGCGAAAGCGUGGGUAGCAAACAGGAUUAGAUACCCUAGUAGUC